This 74-nucleotide transfer RNA is filed under the name Terfezia claveryi. RNAcentral's name for it is "tRNA-Asn". It matches the Rfam family "tRNA". From Rfam's summary of the family: Transfer RNA (tRNA) molecules are approximately 80 nucleotides in length. Their secondary structure includes four short double-helical elements and three loops (D, anti-codon, and T loops). Lineage: Eukaryota; Fungi; Ascomycota; Pezizomycetes; Pezizales; Pezizaceae. RNAcentral also lists the same sequence under 2 other names. The record is from RNAcentral.
GGUUCUAUGGCGCAAUUGGUUAGCGCGUCCGGCUGUUAACCGGGAGGUUGAAAGUUCGAGUCUUUCUAGUACCG